This is a small nucleolar RNA of Tripterygium wilfordii, 107 nucleotides long. NCBI's taxonomy places the organism in Eukaryota, Viridiplantae, Streptophyta, Magnoliopsida, Celastrales, Celastraceae. The record is from RefSeq and is a predicted model, not a curated record.
UAACCAUGAUGCGGGCAUUGAAGUAAAAGCAAUUUAUAACGUUCCCACGCCUCAUGGAAUGGUUCACCAUCAACUUGUGUGAAUGUGGAGAUUUGACGUCUGAAUGC